CGGGGUGGUCUACCUUGGUCGUCAUCGAUCUGACUUUCUACCCGAGAGUUUUUGACAUGUAAAAAACAUUCGAGUAAGGAUCGAGAAGCCAGUCACUCGAGAAGAGAUCGAUAAUUCGUCGAGUAGCGGUCGAAUUGAUCGGAAAAGGAUCGUGUAGAGAUCGAGUUUAGUCGGAAUACAAAUAGUUUACCGAUCAGUACUCGAUCAUUUCGAUCUUUGCUCGACUAAUAUCCGA
RNAcentral lists this long non-coding RNA (235 nucleotides) under Mytilus galloprovincialis (Mediterranean mussel). Lineage: Eukaryota; Metazoa; Mollusca; Bivalvia; Mytilida; Mytilidae. The record is from RNAcentral.